CCGUCAAAGUGGUGUGUGUUAUG
This 23-nucleotide microRNA is filed under the name Caenorhabditis briggsae. Its description in RNAcentral is "Cbr-Mir-2-o3_5p* (star (passenger))". Lineage: Eukaryota; Metazoa; Nematoda; Chromadorea; Rhabditida; Rhabditidae. The record is from RNAcentral.